CAAAAUGUAGCUUAAAUAAAGCAUCUCGCUUACACCGAGAAUACAUCUGUGGAAAUCAGAUCAUUAUGA
This 69-nucleotide transfer RNA is filed under the name Plectrohyla guatemalensis. Its description in RNAcentral is "tRNA-Val". It matches the Rfam family "tRNA". From Rfam's summary of the family: Transfer RNA (tRNA) molecules are approximately 80 nucleotides in length. Their secondary structure includes four short double-helical elements and three loops (D, anti-codon, and T loops). The record is from RNAcentral. Lineage: Eukaryota; Metazoa; Chordata; Amphibia; Anura; Hylidae.